RNAcentral lists this ribosomal RNA (503 nucleotides) under uncultured Candidatus Poseidoniales archaeon. Its description in RNAcentral is "bacterial SSU rRNA". It matches the Rfam family "Archaeal small subunit ribosomal RNA", at positions 284 to 788 of the family's 1478-position model. Lineage: Archaea; Methanobacteriati; Thermoplasmatota; Candidatus Poseidoniia; Candidatus Poseidoniales. The record is from RNAcentral.
CAUAGCCCGGAGAUGGAUUCUGAGACACGAAUCCAGACCCUACGGGGUGCAGCAGGCGCGAAAACUUGGCAAUGCGAGCAAUCGUGACCAGGGAACUCCAAGUGGCUGGGGUAAUACCCAGUUUUUUCUUGACUCUUCAAAGGUCUUGGAAUAAGGGGUGGGUAAGGACGGUGCCAGCCGCCGCGGUAAUACCGGCGCCUCAAGUGGUAGUCGCUUUUAUUGGGCCUAAAACGUCCGUAGCCGGUCUGGUGCAUUCGUGGGUAAAUCAACCCGCUCAACGGGUUGAAUUCUGCGAGCACGGCCAGACUUGGGACCGGGAGAGGUGUGGGGUACUCUCAGGGUAGGGGUAAAAUCCUGUCAUCCUGAGAGGACCACCUGUUGCGAAGGCGCCACACUAGAACGGAUUCGACGGUCAGGGACGAAACCUAGGGGCACGAACCGGAUUAGAUACCCGGGUAGUCCUAGGUGUAAACGCUGUGGACUUGAUGUUGGGGGUGCUCCGA